CUGCAGCUCAAGUGGUGACCGCUAUUAUUGGGCCUAAAACGUUCGUAGCCGGCUGAGUAAAUGCUUGGGUAAAUCGUGCCGCUUAACGGUACGAAUUCCGGGUAGACUACUCAGCUUGAGACCGGGAGAAGCUAGAGGUACUCCUGGGGUAGAGGUGAAAUUCUGUAAUCCUAGGGGGACCACCAGUGGCGAAGGCGUCUAGCUAGAACGGGUCUGACGGUGAGGAACGAAGCCCUGGGGCGCAAACCGGAUUAGAUACCCGAGUAGUCC
RNAcentral lists this ribosomal RNA (270 nucleotides) under uncultured archaeon. RNAcentral's name for it is "partial 16S ribosomal RNA". It matches the Rfam family "Archaeal small subunit ribosomal RNA", at positions 477 to 747 of the family's 1478-position model. The record is from RNAcentral.